AAAAUAUAUAUAUAUAUAUAUUUUUUUUUAAAUGGGGAUCAAACAAGAGCCAAGGGUCGUUUUAGCUUAAAUCUUUCAAAUAAUAAACCAAAGAGAGUGGCAGCUAUUUCUUUCGGUAACAACUUAAAUUUACAAAAUUCUUGGAUUCUUCUCUUAUAUAAUCUCCCCUACCAAUCCAUGCCUUCACGAAAUAAGAAAAUAUUGAGUGAAUAAUUUAUAACCAGAGAUUGUAUCGCCUGUGGCCGAGCCGAGCAGUGCUGCCUUCCCCCUCCUACAUCUCUUAAUCAUCCAAGUCUUGUUUGGCAGUUCAAUUGAAACAAAAAAGUGAUUAUAUUUGAAACUGAAACACAUAAUUAUGGAAUAACUGAACCAUGAGAAUAAUUCAUAUAUAAAUUCAGCAAUAAAUCUAUCUAUAAGGCAAGAAAUGGCUCUGAGUUCUGAUCGCAGAUCUACCUAUCUUCGUCUCGUCUCGUCUGUUAAUUUUCGGAGAAGUUGGGGGGAAUGAAGCCUGGUCCGAGAUCAUUCGCAGGAUCUCUGAAUAUCAUCGAAUGGUCUCGAACCAGACAACAUUCCCCUCAACAAUUCAUGUGUACAUAUGUAUCAAAGAACAAAUCUAUCGAGAGAGAGAGAGAGGGAGAGAGAGGGGAUGGAUUGUUUGAUUUCAAC
RNAcentral lists this long non-coding RNA (666 nucleotides) under Olea europaea subsp. europaea. The record is from RNAcentral. Lineage: Eukaryota; Viridiplantae; Streptophyta; Magnoliopsida; Lamiales; Oleaceae.